This 405-nucleotide ribosomal RNA is filed under the name Bacillus pichinotyi. RNAcentral's name for it is "bacterial SSU rRNA". It matches the Rfam family "Bacterial small subunit ribosomal RNA", at positions 350 to 749 of the family's 1533-position model. The record is from RNAcentral. Lineage: Bacteria; Bacillati; Bacillota; Bacilli; Caryophanales; Bacillaceae.
ANCANUAGGAACUUCCGCAAUGGACGAAAGUCUGACGGAGCACGCCGCGUGAGUGAUGAAGGUUUUCGGAUCGUAAAACUCUGUUGUUAGGGAAGAACAAGUACCGUUCGAAUAGGGCGGUACCUUGACGGUACCUAACCAGAAAGCCACGGCUAACUACGUGCCAGCAGCCGCGGUAAUACGUAGGUGGCAAGCGUUGUCCGGAAUUAUUGGGCGUAAAGCGCGCGCAGGCGGUCUUUUAAGUCUGAUGUGAAAGCCCCCGGCUCAACCGGGGAGGGUCAUUGGAAACUGGGAGACUUGAGUGCAGAAGAGGAGAGUGGAAUUCCACGUGUAGCGGUGAAAUGCGUAGAGAUGUGGAGGAACACCAGUGGCGAAGGCGACUCUCUGGUCUGUAACUGACGCUGA